GCUACCUGGGGUGGGGGCAGCAGGUGGGGGCGGUGUGCGAGGCGGGCCCGUGACGUCACGGGGCGGAGCGACGAGGGUCUGGGCUGCAGUGGGGAGGGCGGGGCGAAAGAAGUGGGCGGUGACCUGAGGCCAGGGGGCGGAGCUACGUUGGGUUUGUGCCGCGGUGAGGGGAGGGGCCAUAGCGUUCAGGGGUUGGGUAAGUAGGGUCCAGGCUGCCGCGGGGAGGGCAGGGCCUGUCAUGGGGGCGGGACCGCGGUGUGGUGGGCGGGGCAUCACUCCCAUAGACUCGGGGCUCCAACUCUGAUUUCAGGGUUAAGUAUUUCCUCCGCGGUGCCGUCGCAGGGCCUUCGCAAAUGUUCUCACAACCCAGGACUCUGUGCCUCUCCCUUGCUCGUCGCUUCAUCUCCCACAGCAGGUGCCAGGCACCGAGGAAUAACGCCCCCACCCUGGGUUCUCCAAAGCUCUGGCUUCAGACUGUAAUUUUAUUUUUUUUCUUUUGGCUGCGUGGCUAGUGAUAUCUUAGUUCCCUGACCAGGAGUGAACCUGGGCACUUGGCACUGAGAGCUUAGAAUCCUAACCACUGGACUGCCAGGGAAAACCCAACUGGGUCUGUAAUUUUGCAUGUGCUGGUUCUGGCUCCGCCGACUCCCCUGUGUAGCAGGUAGCAUGUCUGCUUCCUGUGCCCAGCACACACCUGGGGCUCCACACUACUGCCAAGCGAUUGGAGGAGUAGCAGUAGGUCUGAAGAUCUGGGAGAAAACACCUUUCUCCUGGUCUGGCUCCCAACUUCACAGGAAGGUGGCACGUUAGGACCCAUCCCAAGACAAUGGGGAGUGUAGGCUGCCCAUCCCACACAGGAAGUUUGGUUUAAUGGUUGUCCAUGUCUCUCUAAGGUGAGAAAGCCUCACUCCAGUUUCUGCUGGGGGUGGCAUGAAAUCUGUCUUCAAAAUCUCUGGAUUCUCUGUCCACCUCUUCUGAGCCUCCCCACACCCUUGUUUCUUGUCAUUUCUUUCUUUAUAACUUUUUAUUAUGGAAGAUUUCCAACAUAUGCAAAAACAGAGUGUUACAAGUAACCUUCAUGUUUCCCCUACCAAGCUUCCCUGGCUCCCCACACACAGCCACAUCUGGUUGUAUUACCCCAAGGCUGUCAUCAAAUCAUUUAUCCCUAAAUUUUGCAGUUACUUUUGACUUGUCCCAAAACCCUCAGGGCUUCUUUCCAUCCCACUUGUUCACAAUCUGAAAUGGGUUUGUGCUGGAGUUGGCCAUUUUCACGGAUCUUCUGUCAGGGUAAUUUCUCCUUAUUCUGACAUCCUCCAGGUUUAGUCUUUUUUUUUUUUUUUUUAAGUCAAACAAUAAUAAGUUAUUUAGAGAACAUUCACACAUCCCAGGCACUCGUGUGAUGUUGUGUGCCUUACUGUUUGCCCAGGUCAUGUUGUCCCCAUUGUACAAAUAAGGUAGUAAGUGACACCCACUGUGUAAAUCCAGGCUUGAUGACUUACAGUUGUACUCUUAACCAUGCCCUGGUAUUUGUCUCUGAGGCAUAGUUAGUGUCCCUUCUGAAGAAGAAUGGCAAGUAGAAUGGAAAGAUGGAUGGUAGGGCAGGGUAUGUGGGAUAAAUGGGGGAAAAGGCAGGUUCUUCUCUGUGUGAACAGAGGGAAAGGAUGCUUAUGUGGAGCCCCAUGAACUCAGGUCAGGGGACCAGUGGCUGCACCUGUCUGUCUGUGCUGUGUGUGUUCCCUUGUGCUUUCCGGUAGGACACUGAUGUGGCCGGCACAGACCUCCAUUGUGGUCUUUGGAUUCACACCUCACCUCCCAUCGUCCCCUUUAGAUGUUCUGCAGACAUCUCAGACUUGGUGUGUCCAAGCUUCAGCUGUCUUCUGCCUCCUCCAGCCCUCCCUGACUGUUGAGGGAGCUCCACUCUCCUGUCACUAAGGCCAGCAGCCUGGAAGCACCCAUGACCUUUGUCUCUCACACACCACAUGCAGAGCCUGCCUGUCUGGACGCAGUAGCCACAGGGAUCCUGUCAGGUCCACGUCUGCUGUCAACCCUGCUUCCUUAAUAGCCCCCGAGGGCCUGGGUCAUGUUGCUCAUCUGCUGGAGCCACAGGCCAGAAACACAGAUCUCCCGCUAACCCCUCUGCCUGGGGAUGCUGUUCCCCCUCUGUUCCCCCAUCGCACACUUCUCAGGCUUUGCUCAGAUGUUGCCUUCUGAGUCUUGCUCAUCCUUCCCAAUUUAAAAUUACACCCCACUCCCACUCCCGUCCCCGUUCUUCUGGUCUUUGUCCUUUUCCCAUGGAGGUUUAUCACAGAGGAAACCAGCCAAGUUACCUCCAUGUUCUUUUUAUCUUGUGCUGCUUGCCUCCCUCUGCCUUGUGAGAAUGGAGACUUCAUUGUUCCCCAGUGUGUCCCCACCCCUGGAGUGGCAUCUGCCCCCAUGGGUGUGCAGGGAGGUUCUCUGAGGCCAGCCUGUGAGAGCCUGCACCUAGCUUUGCAGUCAGAAGGACCCAGAUUUGCAUCAUGGCUCCACCUGUCCUUACCUGUGAGAACUCAGACGACAUUCGUAACAUAUGUGAACGUAUGUGUCAGUUCCCCUGCUUCCUGCCCCAUGGGGUUGUCACAAGGGAUCAGUGAACUCCAUGCCAGGCACACAGCACUCAGCAGAUGUUGGUAUUAAAUGAUGUUACCGACCAAGAAAGGGUGUAAUAGGACUUAAGUGGUUCCCCCACCAUCCCUGCGAGUGGGAAGAUCUCUAGGGUGUCAGUGACUGGGGCUGUCCUCUUUUCUGGCUCUUGGCUGAGUUUCCUUGGCCUUAGAUUAGAAAUCAUCUGUCCUACCUCAUUCCGAGUGGUUUUUGAAAAUCCAUUUUAUUGAAAUAUAAUUUAUAUGAUAAACAUGCCUGUUUUGAGGGUAUAGUUUGAAUUUUGCAGCAUAACGUACUGCACAACUGUUAAAUAGUGUUGUGAAAUAGAACUUACUAGUGUUUUGGGGUCAGGGACCACUUUGACAAUCUGAUUAAAACUACAGAAACUUUUGAAAACUGUCAGGUUUUACUCUAGACCAUUGAAAAGUUUUAGCAAGAAGACCAUUUUGUUCCAGAGAAUUGCAUGAGUCUGUCUCUCUGUUUUCAUGUACAAUGCAGUAACCGGUCUCUGAAAGAAACCUCAAUUAUAAAGGAAAUCUAAAAUUAUGUAAUUAAAUAAAAACAAACUUCUUUCAAAAUAA
Long non-coding RNA from Bubalus bubalis (water buffalo), 3221 nucleotides. RefSeq lists it as uncharacterized. Lineage: Eukaryota; Metazoa; Chordata; Mammalia; Artiodactyla; Bovidae. The record is from RefSeq and is a predicted model, not a curated record. The transcript is spliced from 2 exons.